GACGAACGCUGGCGGCGUGCUUAACACAUGCAAGUCGAACGCUGAAGCUCAGCUUUUGUUGGGUGGAUGAGUGGCGAACGGGUGAGUAACACGUGAGUAACCUGCCCCCUUCUUUGGGAUAACGCCCGGAAACGGGUGCUAAUACUGGAUAUUCACUGGUCUUCGCAUGGGGGUUGGUGGAAAGGGUUUUUCUGGUGGGGGAUGGGCUCGCGGCCUAUCAGCUUGUUGGUGGGGUGAUGGCCUACCAAGGCUUUGACGGGUAGCCGGCCUGAGAGGGUGACCGGUCACAGUGGGACUGAGAUACGGCCCAGACGCCUACGGGAGGCAGCAGUGGGGAAUAUGGCACAAUGGGCGCAAGCCUGAUGCAGCGACGCCGCGUGAGGGAUGGAGGCCUUCGGGUUGUGAACCUCUUUCGCUCAUGGUCAAGCCGCAACAAUGGUUGUGGUGAGGGUAGUGGGUAAAGAAGCGCCGGCUAACUACGUG
Molecule: ribosomal RNA, 483 nt
Filed under: uncultured bacterium
Lineage: Bacteria
Description: partial 16S ribosomal RNA
Rfam family: Bacterial small subunit ribosomal RNA
Source: RNAcentral